GGACAACAGGUCAACAUUCCUGUACCGGUCAUGUUUUGGGAAGGGGGACG
RNAcentral lists this ribosomal RNA (50 nucleotides) under bacterium. Its description in RNAcentral is "partial 23S ribosomal RNA". The record is from RNAcentral.